GACGACGCUGGCGGCGUGCCUAACACAUGCAAGUCGAGCGGAGAUGUACUGAAGAUUUAUCGGAUGUACAUCUUAGCGGCGGACGGGUGAGUAACGCGUGGGCAACCUGCCUUCCACUGGGGGAUAACACAGGGAAACCUGUGCUAAUACCGCAUGACAUCACAUAGGGCAUCCUGUGUGAUCAAAGGAGUGAUCCGGUGGAAGAUGGGCCCGCGUCCGAUUAGCUAGUUGGUGAGGUAACGGCUCACCAAGGCGACGAUCGGUAGCCGGACUGAGAGGUUGGCCGGCCACAUUGGGACUGAGACACGGCCCAGACUCCUACGGGAGGCAGCAGUGGGGAAUAUUGCGCAAUGGGGGGAACCCUGACGCAGCGACGCCGCGUGAAGGAAGAAGGCCUUCGGGUUGUAAACUUCUUUGAUGAGGGACGAAGGAAGUGACGGUACCUCAAAAACAAGCCACGGCUAACUACGUG
RNAcentral lists this ribosomal RNA (472 nucleotides) under uncultured bacterium. RNAcentral's name for it is "bacterial SSU rRNA". It matches the Rfam family "Bacterial small subunit ribosomal RNA", at positions 33 to 507 of the family's 1533-position model. The record is from RNAcentral.